CCCACCUUCCCACCACGAUUCUAUCUCUCUCUCUCGUACCUCUCUCUCCCUCUCGAUCCAGAGCGCAUCGGCGCCCCACCGGCCACCACCUCGACUGCCCUGGCCUCACCGGCCACCACUUCGCACGUCGGCCACCAGGGCGACCUCAGCCCUCCUACCCCGUCGCCCCCGUCAGCCGCAGGCUCCGGCCCCGUUGCCCCCGUUGGCCGCCGGCUCCGGCCCCAUCCCCUGCAGGCCGUCGGCUCCGGCCGCGUCCCCCGCAGGCCUCCGGCGCUGCCAAGCCCGCACCGUCCCGCUUCGCCCCCACCGGCAGCCGGCCCCAUCCAUCGAUGCUGCAGCGCCGCACCACCUUACGGAUGAGCCUGGCAAGCUCCGUUGCGGCGGCGGACGCCUUGAGCACCAUCCCUCUUGUAAUUUUUUUGUGAGAUAUCCCUGUUGUAUUCUCUGUAAUUCAUUUGUGUGUACUAAUUCAUUUGCAUCUACUCUGUGUAAUCCAUUUGUGUGUAAUCUGUUUAUUUUGUGAAAUGGAACAGUUUUGUAUUGUGAAAUUCAUCCGUGGAGUCUUGGAACACC
This 573-nucleotide ribosomal RNA is filed under the name Triticum aestivum (bread wheat). RNAcentral's name for it is "partial small subunit ribosomal RNA". Lineage: Eukaryota; Viridiplantae; Streptophyta; Magnoliopsida; Poales; Poaceae. The record is from RNAcentral.